Molecule: ribosomal RNA, 488 nt
Filed under: uncultured bacterium
Lineage: Bacteria
Description: bacterial SSU rRNA
Rfam family: Bacterial small subunit ribosomal RNA
Source: RNAcentral
CAGGAUGAACGCUGGCGGCGUGCUUAACACAUGCAAGUCGAACGGAGCUUAAGAAGGAAGCUUGCUUCAUUUAAGCUUAGUGGCGGACGGGUGAGUAACGCGUGAGCAACCUGCCCUUCAGUGGGGAAUAACACCGAGAAAUCGGUGCUAAUACCGCAUAAUGUCGGAGGACCGCAUGAUCUUCCGACCAAAGGAUUUAUUCGCUGAAGGAUGGGCUCGCGUCCGAUUAGGCAGUUGGCGGGUAACGGCCCACCAAACCAACGAUCGGUAGCCGAACUGAGAGGUUGAUCGGCCACAUUGGGACUGAGACACGGCCCAGACUCCUACGGGAGGCAGCAGUGGGGAAUAUUGGGCAAUGGGCGAAAAAGCCUGACCCAGCAACGCCGCGUGAAGGAUGAAGGUCUUCGGAUUGUAAACUUCUUUGAUUGGGGAAGAAUAAAUGACCUACCCAAAGAACAAGUCACGGCUAACUACGUGCCAGCCGCCGC